ACCUAGCCGCGAUUGGAACGGCAUCCCCGCCGCGGCGGGAUAUAGUGGAAAGCGCGCAGAAUG
This 63-nucleotide small RNA is filed under the name Halpernia humi. RNAcentral describes it as "Chryseobacterium humi Flavo-1 RNA". It matches the Rfam family "Flavo-1 RNA". Lineage: Bacteria; Pseudomonadati; Bacteroidota; Flavobacteriia; Flavobacteriales; Weeksellaceae. The record is from RNAcentral.